Molecule: ribosomal RNA, 622 nt
Filed under: Clostridioides difficile
Lineage: Bacteria; Bacillati; Bacillota; Clostridia; Peptostreptococcales; Peptostreptococcaceae
Description: bacterial LSU rRNA
Rfam family: Bacterial large subunit ribosomal RNA
Source: RNAcentral
UACAUAGCUUAAUGAGGGGAACUCAGGGAACUGAAACAUCUAAGUACCUGAAGGAAGAGAAAGAAAUUCGAUUCCGUAAGUAGCGGCGAGCGAACGCGGAUUAGCCCAAACCAAUAAAGUUUUCUUUAUUGGGGUUGAGGACAUACCACAUAUAAGAGGUCAUUAUAGACGAAGAAGUUUGGAAAAACUCAUCAUAGAAGGUAAUAAUCCUGUAGUCAAAAUAAUAAUUCUUUAGGUAUGAUCCAGAGUACCACGGGACACGUGAAACCCUGUGGGAAGCAGGAGGGACCACCCUCCAAGGCUAAAUACUACCUAGUGACCGAUAGCGUAUAGUACCGUGAGGGAAAGGUGAAAAGAACCCCGGGAGGGGAGUGAAAUAGAACCUGAAACCCUGCACUUACAAGCUGUGGAAGCACAUUUCUUGUGUGACCGCGUACUUUUUGUAGAACGGGCCAACGAGUUACGUUAAGUAGCAAGGUUAAGCACUUAAGGUGCGGAGCCGUAGCGAAAGCGAGUUUUAACUGAGCGUUCAGUUACUUGACGUAGACCCGAAACCGGGCGACCUACCCAUGAGCAGGAUGAAGCGAAAGUAAAAUUUCGUGGAGGUCCGAACCCACGAGCG